Molecule: ribosomal RNA, 761 nt
Filed under: uncultured bacterium
Lineage: Bacteria
Description: bacterial SSU rRNA
Rfam family: Bacterial small subunit ribosomal RNA
Source: RNAcentral
CAUGCAAGUCGAGGGGUAUAGUUUUUCGGAACUAGAGACCGGCGCACGGGUGCGUAACGCGUAUGCAAUCUACCUUUUGCAGAGGGAUAGCCCAGAGAAAUUUGGAUUAAUACCUCAUAGUAUAGCAGUUUCGCAUGAAACCACUAUUAAAGUCACAACGGCAAAAGAUGAGCAUGCGUCCCAUUAGCUAGAUGGUAAGGUAACGGCUUACCAUGGCCACGAUGGGUAGGGGUCCUGAGAGGGAGAUCCCCCACACUGGUACUGAGACACGGACCAGACUCCUACGGGAGGCAGCAGUGAGGAAUAUUGGUCAAUGGACGCAAGUCUGAACCAGCCAUGCCGCGUGCAGGAUGACGGUCCUAUGGAUUGUAAACUGCUUUUGUACGAGAAGAAACAACAUUACGUGUAAUGUCUUGACGGUAUCGUAAGAAUAAGGAUCGGCUAACUCCGUGCCAGCAGCCGCGGUAAUACGGAGGAUCCAAGCGUUAUCCGGAAUCAUUGGGUUUAAAGGGUCCGUAGGCGGUUUAGUAAGUCAGUGGUGAAAGCCCAUCGCUCAACGGUGGAACGGCCAUUGAUACUGCUAGACUUGAAUUAUUAGGAAGUAACUAGAAUAUGUAGUGUAGCGGUGAAAUGCUUAGAGAUUACAUGGAAUACCAAUUGCGUAGGCAGCUUACUAGAGGUUCACUGACGCUGAUGCACGAAGCGUGGGGAUCAACAGGAUAGAUCCCUGGUAGUCACGCGUAACGAUGAUACUCGCUGUG